This 620-nucleotide long non-coding RNA is filed under the name Mytilus galloprovincialis (Mediterranean mussel). Lineage: Eukaryota; Metazoa; Mollusca; Bivalvia; Mytilida; Mytilidae. The record is from RNAcentral.
AAAGUUUAAAGAAGAAAUCUUAAAUUGCACAAUAUUGCUCAAUAGAUUUGUAAGAACUUGACAUUUGUUUUGUGUCAGGAACUCAUAUUAUGUCAAAGACUUGAUCACAAUCCAAAUUCAGAGCUGGAUCAAGCUUGAAUGUUGUGUCCAUACUUGCCCAGCUGUUUAGGGUUCGACCUCUGCUGCGGUAUCACCCUGCAGAGCACCUGGUUGCUAUUUAUUUUUCUAAAAAAAAUAUUAUUAGGCCUAUUAUUUCAUAUUUUAUUUUAAAUUCUACCAGAAAGAUUUCUUUCUAUUUACAAAACAACUGUUUUUGCAUGAAUAAUUUAUGCAAAACUGGGUAAUUUUUCACAACUUAUACCUUAGAAAAAGGCCUGGUUACCCAUGAUUUUUAUUAUACUUAAAAAAGCAUUCUAAAAAUUAUAUUUUGACAAAGUGCAUGAAAAUUCUGUUAGAGGAAAUAUUUAGAAUGUCAAGGUUGCAAAACCUGGAAGAUAAUACUUUUAAAACCAUCUUAGUUACAAUAACUUUUACCAACUGUGCACCUCAGGGUAUUGAUAAAUACAUGUACUGCAAAUUUUAUCAUUGAGAUUUUUUGCAUGUUGUAUGUUAGAAUAUAC